GACGAACGCUGGCGGCGUGCUUAACACAUGCAAGUCGAGCGGUAAGGCCCUUUCGGGGGUACACGAGCGGCGAACGGGUGAGUAACACGUGGGUGACCUGCCCUCAGCUCUGGGAUAAGCCUGGGAAACCGGGUCUAAUACCGGAUAUGACUCCAUGACGCAUGUUGUGGGGUGGAAAGCCUUGUGCGGCUGAGGAUGGGCCCGCGGCCUAUCAGCUUGUUGGUGGGGUGANGGCCUACCAAGGCGACGACGGGUAGCCGGCCUGAGAGGGCGACCGGCCACACUGGGACUGAGACACGGCCCAGACUCCUACGGGAGGCAGCAGUGGGGAAUAUUGGACAAUGGGGGCAACCCUGAUCCAGCGACGCCGCGUGGGUGAAGAAGGCCUGCGGGUUGUAAAGCCCUUUCGGUGGGGAAGAAAAGUCUCGACCUAAUACGUCGGGACCUUGACGUAACCCACUAAAGAAGCACCGGCUAACUCUGUGCCAGCAGCCGCAGUAAACCUG
Molecule: ribosomal RNA, 506 nt
Filed under: uncultured bacterium
Lineage: Bacteria
Description: bacterial SSU rRNA
Rfam family: Bacterial small subunit ribosomal RNA
Source: RNAcentral